ACAGGUGUUGGCAGGUGUUGGCAGGUAUAGGAAGGUGUUGACAGGUGUCAUUCAGUGUUGGCAGGUGUUGGCAGGUAUUGGAAGGUGUUGACAUGUGUUGACAGGUGUUGACAGGUGUUGGCAGGUGUUGGCAGGUGUUGGCAGGUAUUAGAAGGUGUUGACAUGGAAGGUAUUGGAAG
Non-coding RNA from Labrus bergylta (ballan wrasse), 179 nucleotides. NCBI's taxonomy places the organism in Eukaryota, Metazoa, Chordata, Actinopteri, Labriformes, Labridae. The record is from RefSeq and is a predicted model, not a curated record.